Molecule: ribosomal RNA, 492 nt
Filed under: uncultured bacterium
Lineage: Bacteria
Description: partial 16S ribosomal RNA
Rfam family: Bacterial small subunit ribosomal RNA
Source: RNAcentral
AGUGAACGCUGGCGGUAGGCCUAACACGUGCAAGUCGAACGGCAGCACAGUAAGAGCUUGCUCUUACGGGUGGCGAGUGGCGGACGGGUGAGGAAUACAUCGGAAUCUACUUUUUCGUGGGGGAUAACGUAGGGAAACUUACGCUGAUACCGCAUACGACCUACGGGUGAAAGCAGGGGAUCUUCGGACCUUGCGCGAUUGAAUGAGCCGAUGUCGGAUUAGCUAGUUGGCGGGGUAAAGGCCCACCAAGGCGACGAUCCGUAGCUGGUCUGAGAGGAUGAUCAGCCACACUGGAACUGAGACACGGUCCAGACUCCUACGGGAGGCAGCAGUGGGGAAUAUUGGACAAUGGGCGCAAGCCUGAUCCAGCCAUACCGCGUGGGUGAAGAAGGCCUUCGGGUUGUAAAGCCCUUUUGUUGGGAAAGAAAAGCAGCAGGUUAAUACCCCGCUGUUCUGACGGUACCCAAAGAAUAAGCACCGGCUAACUUCGUG